Molecule: unclassified non-coding RNA, 8876 nt
Filed under: Penaeus chinensis
Lineage: Eukaryota; Metazoa; Arthropoda; Malacostraca; Decapoda; Penaeidae
Description: uncharacterized LOC125039795, transcript variant X3
Source: RNAcentral
GGGCCGCCGUCCAGGGAAGACCGAACGUGAGGAACUGCUGCUAUCUGAACGCCUCGUAGGCACAAUCUUGGCAUUAAAAAUAAGAUCCAAUCCGAAAUAAAAGAGAAAAAGAAAAUGCCGUCCGUAUAACGAACGUCAAUGGCUUACUAAUCGAUUACGAAAAUGGACGAGGUUUCUUAAUGGAUACAUAAAAAAAAAUAUUGGACAAGUGACAGAAGUCACACGCCAAGAUGUUGUCGAUGUGUGGAUUGCUGUGCCGCAUGCUGCGAGGCUGGCGGCACAGUGAGGCGGUGAUGCUCAUGGCAAAGGCACUCUCCCAGCCUCACUCGUCUCUGCUGGUUCAGGACAUUCGAGCAUCAGAUUCGGGUAUUGUCAAAGUUAAUGAGCCAAGCUGCACAUCAAUCUUCUGCCAAAACAGCAACGAAGGAUCAGUAGGACAGCUUCUCUGGAGGGACAACAACAAGCAGGCAGUUGUCAUAGCUCCCAAGCAAAGAGUGGACCUUAAGCGAUGGACCCUCUUCAUGAUGGCGGCAGAUCAUCCAAGUAACAGCCACUCAAGAGAAUCAGCCCAGCAAGCGAGCGAGAAUGGAUUCCCAAGUGCAAAAUCUGAUGUUACGACCACAAUCACAGUCCUCCUUGAAGCCUCAUACAGAGAGCAAGAAGAUAAUCAGCUGCUAGACUGUUAUGUGAUGGUAGAACAGUUAUCUCAGCCCUAUGCCUGGAAGGCCAGAGAUGUGUUUGGAGUCAUUGUAACAACAACCCCACCUCAGCUGCUUGCCAUGAUUCAAGCCUUCUUCAAUAAUGCUCUCAUUGUUGAUGAUGACUUUCUUAUUACGAAGCUUAUUACUGUUGACUUAGUGGGUCAACCUUCAACCUUUGAUGACCCACUGAGCAUACCAGAAAGUGUGACCCCAGGACCAUGGACCACAGAGAAAACUACUUGCACACAGAUGGAGUUAGCUCGUUCUGUGUCUCCCACAAACUAUACUGUGGGCCAGUUAUCAGUCAGAGAAGGCGAUCCCAUGGGAGCUUGUGGUAUCUCUCUGCAUCCUCCGACCCUUUCUGCUGUAUUGCGUCAGCAGUCAUCAGCAGAGAGUGCCACAGAUACAUCCACUACUCUUCACCCUCAAUCAUCUAGUGAUAGUGACAAACGGGCUUCUAGCCUCGACCCUCAGUCAUCGUAUGACAGUGUCAGUGAUUAUCCAACGUCUGACACUGAUGAUCUAUCUUGCAAUGUUUAUAAUUUCUAUCCCAGAGGAUGGGCAGUGUCUGGCCAGCAAGUUGUGUCGGGACAGCCACUGUCAGUCCGGGGUGUCCUCAACCAUCUGGAAGGUAAACAGUACAGAAAACCGUGUUCCAUAGUGUCUAAUCCUAUGGAAGAUUUAUGGCAGGAGUCCGACGAGAAAACAAAAGUGGUGGAUGCAGGCAGUGUCUAUCAACACGGAAGCUUAAGAUGCAUGAAUGGUCCUGCUGGAUUUUCCAAAAGGAGUGAGACACUGUUGAAAGUUCGGAGGGGCUCAUCAGAAUGUAGUUAUCCAUAUCGGUGUAUCCCUGGGAAGGUAAUUUGCCAGAACAUACAGCAUUCAGUGCCUGGCAAAGCUGAGCAGGAGAUUGUGAAAGAGGCAGCUGAGUAUUAUCAGAGAGCAGUUUCCUCUGCUCAAGAACGCAGAGAAUGGACCAAGAAAAGUUUUAGUUCAACCAGUGAGGAUGAUGGUCCACCAUGUAAAUUCUCAUUCUCUGACACUAAAGAAAAAGCAGUUGUUACACAAGAACCCAAGAGACACCCUGUGAGAAUUAGUAGUGAAGCUGAUCUAAGUAGAGCUACAAAUAUAAUAAAAGAAAAUCUUGCAAACAUUGUUGAAAAUUAUCUAGUAAAACAUGGCAGUUCUGAAUAUCAUCACCUUAUUCCAAAGGCUAAAGGUAAUGGUGAUAGAAGUGUUGAGGCAGAUACCCAUAAUGGUAGUCAAGGUGUAAAUGUGAAUGUCAGAGACAAGGUCAUUCAUACAACAACAUCCAGGGUCCUAAAUGACCAAUAUGAGGUUACCAAGACACAAGAUGUACAACAGAUCAGUAUAUCCAUAAGCUUUGAAGAUGAUGAAAAGUUAGUCACUGAAAUUAUGGGAGGCUGUGAUGAAGGUCUUGUGUCAGUUAUUGAUACAAAGAAGGCUCCAGUACAGGGCUUCAGUGAGGAAGAAGUAAGUAAUUACUUUGCAAAUCAAGAAGAAAGUCCUGAUAAAUCAAUGGAAGAAGAUCAGUCUCCAGUUCUCUCUCCAGUAAGUGGGAAAAUUGCAAGUAAAUCCUCAGGAAGAAGUGAAAAGAAAUUAGUGAAGAGUGAGGAACUUUUGCCACCUACUAUGAAGCGUGAAAGUUGUAUUGAUAUUCCAAAUAAUGAUGAUGAAUUCAGAAGUGUCACAAGGUUUGAGGACCAGAGCAUUCAAGAAAGAGCCUGGCUGGAAAAGGAGGAAUUGCCAGGCUCUCUUAUUGUAAAAAGUGAGGCAGUCAUCAACAUUUCUGAAACGUUUAUUGGAAAUGGAAACCUUGAUGAACCUAGCAGAACUAAUGAGAAGAUGCUGGAAAUGCUCCAACUCCACAAAAAUGGUGUAAUGGAAGAUUCCCACACAAAGGAAGAAGAUAUCUCAGAGAAGCUAAUUGACUUAGAAACUGAAAGUGGAAUAAGAGAAAAGGAGCUAGCUCAAGUAAACAAAAUUGCUGACGAGUCACCGAUUUUGAAAGAGAGUUCAUUGAUCACUGAAUCACUUGAAAAAGAGGAAAAAGUUAGCAGUCCAACUACUGAAGAAAAGGUAUAUUCACCAGAUACUGACUCCACUUCAGUUGAGAACAUGGAUUCAUACAGAGUCAAAGAUAUUAAUAAAUCACUGGCAGGUAAUGAUAACAAGUAUUCUGAUAUACCCAUUAUUUUAGACAGUGCCCAGGAGAACAUAGCUGUUAGUGAAAAGAAAACUCAUAAACUUUCACUUAUUAGUGAAGUUGAAGAAAAUGGGGAUGGCAACCAUUUAGAGGUCCAAGAGAAAGGCCAGGUUGAUGAAGUGAGUGAUGAUGAUAGUUCACAAAAACCAAGAUGUCUCAAAGAUAUACACAAACUAAAUACAAAAUCCAGCACCACUAGUGAAAGUUCAUUUGAAUCUCUUCCAUACAGAAUGCUUUCAUCUCAGCCAGAUAGCCUGAAUGAUGAUUUAGGACUGGUCAUAGAACUGACUAGUGCACCAAUAGAUUCAGAAAAGGCUUUAGCUGCAAAACGUGAGUUGAUCAGGCAAGAGCGAAUGGCUGCAAUGUCCCUUAUGAGUGGAACACUGUUAGAAUCAAGGGAUGAAAUAAGAUAUGAAGCCAUCUUUGAGAAAGGGUCUGAGUUUGAUACUGUUGAUGUAGAAAAGUGUACUGAUGUGGAUGCAGUCCAUGGGGAGGAGAAUAUUGAAGUGAAUGCCAUGGCAGCAGCAGCUUCAACACAGGAAGAAGAUAGAGAAAGUUACCCUAGCUCCUUGUUUGAUUCUGGUGUGGAUAUAGCAAUGCAUGAACAUGUGAGCAGCAUAAAUUCAUCCCUUAGCAAGUCACUGGUCAGUCCAGUAGAAUCUGCAGCAGAGUCUGGUUUCUCAAGUUUGAAGGAGCCUCUUGUACCAGAGGGAGCCAUGGUGGAAGAUAGUGGGCCAGGUGAGCACAGGGGAGUUUGCUUAAGUAAAUCAAAAGAUAGUCUUGAUCUCACUGACACGGAUAAGUUCCCUGGUACAGAUACCCUCUCAGAUGACAUGGAAACACUCUCUUCAAAUGCUGGUGAUAUUACCCUUGUGGAGAGUGGCCCUGUCUCUAAGGAAGGAUCUGCACGAGGAAGCGUCUCUGAUGGCAUUUAUCAAGACAAUGGGUAUUUGAGAUAUGGCUCGGAAUCAUCUCAUCUAGAUUUAGAUUCAGUUGGAAUUCCUAAUACAUAUCUUAAAGGUUCACAUUAUGAGACUGCAGCAGGUGUUGAGGAAAUAUCAGGAAGGGAUGAAUUAUCUCCAAAGGCUGGAGGAGAGAAGUUGACUCAACAAAAUCUGAUGAGACAUGCAGAGAAGACCUCUAUAUCAACAGAUAUUGUAGAUUAUUGCAAUAGGUUGCAGAAACUUUCAAUGGAUUAUGAUAAAGUUAGCACAUCAGAGAAAUUUGAUCAAAAGUCUGCCAAGUAUUUGCCAGAGGAAAGUGAAGCAUCAAAGAGAAAGACUAGUGAGUCCAUUUCAUCAGAAGAUACAGUUAUAUCGAAAGUGUCUGCUGAAGAACAGAAUAAUAAGAUUCAGUCACAAGGAUCACAGGAAGACCAAAUGGAGCUCCCAGAGAGCCUUCUGGAAUGUUCAGAAUAUGAGGAUAUAAGCAAGACAGGAGACUUUGACAAAGGAAAGGAAAAUGGGGAGCCAUGCAAGUCUCCCAUAAGUCACAUUGGAAUGAACAGUAGAAUUAGUGUCAGCAGCGGUGAAGGAGUAGAACACAAAGAUAAAGACUCUGCUGUUGCACCUGCAGUAUCAUCAGGAGCUGACCAAUAUUGUGACAUUGCAAUUGAGGGUAAAUCAGGGGAGAAUGAGGGACUGUCAGAUGUGAUGAACAGGGUAGACACAACAGAGCUUAAUGGUGAUGAAUCAAUGUGCAAAGAAGAAGAAUCUAAUGGAAGUUCACUUAUUGGUUCAGUUGAAAGAAAACAGUCUUCAGUAGGACACAAAUCUAGAGGAUCCACACUGACAUCAUCCACCAGUCAGUCUGAAGAGAUCCCUAAAGAUGUCAGUGCAGCUGAAAAAGUUCCUAGCCAAGAAAAUGAUUCUCCGAAGGAUUCUACAACAAAACAGAGCUAUCAGUCAGAGAAGACCUCCAUAUCUGGUGCAGAGGAGAAGGAGAGCAGCAGUCAGCCCGUUCCUAUGUCUGAAGCAGAAAAGAGCAGAAAGUCUAACAAGUCAAAGAGUGAUGUAAGUGACAAAUCGAGUCCAAAUGCCCGGGAAACAUGUAGCAAUUCAGACAGACCAAGCCGGCACUCAAGCAGAAGUGGAGUUUCUGACUUGGAGGAUGAGGUGUUCCUUCCACCCAGUGAAAACUACAUCUUUGAUGGUAGACCUGUAAUUUAUUGUCCCAAAAUAGAUAUGGCUGAUCAAAUAGGAAUUGAACACCCACAAGUUGCUAUGAGUGUAUUUGCAGUCAUUCCAUCCAAGGAAAUUAAAAGUGGCAAAGAUGGCCGAUGGGAAGAGCAUAUGGGUAAAGGGAGUGUAUUUAAGAUGGCUGAUUAUUAUGCAGCACAAGAUAGCCAAAUUCAGAAGGAAGAGAAAGAUAAACCUCUUGUUGUAUCAGAAUUUAGGAAGAUAUCAGAGGGAUUCACUGUGGCAGAAGACAGUGUUCUGUUAGAAGAAGAACAGCCCAAAGCUCCAGUUGAAUCUGAUACCAGUGAUGGAAAUGUUGAAUGGAAGAACAAGAAUGCAGAGAGUAAAGCUCCACUGAGAUGCACAGGAGGUGCCCCAUUAACAGAUGAUUAUACUCACAUAGAAGAAGAUGAGAUAGAGCCAAUAACAGCUGCUAAAGAAGAAUUGAAAGCCACUAAGACAGAUAAUGAAGGAUGGGUACCAUCAAAAGAGUCAAUAAAUGUAAAGAAACUUGAUAAUGGGACUUUGGGUGAAGCCAAGGUAGAAAAGGUAAGUGAUACUAAAAGUUCAUGCAAGCCCACAAGAGUGAUUCAUCCAGCAGUGAGAUCAAAGAGAGCAGAUGGUAGUGUUCAAAACAAACAGAAAAAUGUUGAAGAGAUACAUGGUCCACAGACUGUCCUGAAGUCUGGAGUAUCAGAUAUAGAGAGCAGAAGUCAUAAAGAAUCUGCUAUUUAUGAUGAUCGAGUUAGGUCAUAUGAUAGUGAAUGGGUGAUUGCAGCAGAUGGACAUACCAUUAUUAAUCCUGUUUUUCAAGAAUCUCCGAUAUCCCCAUUCACAACUCAAACUAACAAUUUGAUAGAGGAGUCACAGAAGCCUUCAGAUUAUAGAGUUUUUGAUUUAAGUAAACCACCCUUAGAUGACACUGUUGACCAUUCCAAACCAAAGCUGGCACGAAUGGCCAACUUGGAGAGGUCUGACACAGCUAUAGCCAUACAGAGAGUAUCAGACAUGGAGGUGCUUCCAGUCAAUAAAGUGGCAAUAAAGAUUUUAGAUAAUGAUGAAAGUGUACCACAGUCCCCAGUAUUGUCUCCACUUUCUCCAAGAUUUCCUGGUAAGACAAACUCAUCAUUUUCAGGUGCCAAGGAAGCUGUGGCUGCUGAAGAAACGAUUACACGAAGAAGAACAGGUUCAGAUGCAAAUGAUCACACCACUGGGGACAAGGCAAACGAGAAGCGCAUAAAUACCUCAAAGAGGGAAGGUAAAGUUUUCGAUUUUGACAAAGUUCCUGACCUGGAAGAAUGUAAAUCACAAGGAACAGGAUCUCUGAAGUCUAAAGAGAGUGAGGAGAGCGAAAUCAGCAAUGUAACCUCAAAUGAAGAAUAUUCUGCCAAAUCUGAACCAGAGAUGAAGACAGAGGGAAGUGAGAGACUCUCCACUCUGACUCUUGAUGAACAAAGAUCAGUUUCCAAAGGGGACAUAAGGGGUGGUUGGGCUGUAGGUGGGUCCCUGGAGUGCUUGGAGAGAACCAGCUCCAGCAAGGAAGGUAAAGGGCAUCAUCAAGGAUCUAUAUCAAGUGCCAAGUCAGAAGACCUUGGCAUGAAGUGUGAGAAAGUGAGUUUAAAGUCACAGGGCUCUUUGGACAAAUUUCCUCAUUUUGACCAGAUCAGUGCACAGCAGAAGGCAAGGGGGGCUCGGAAGAAAGUCCUUUCUGUUGAUACUGAGGGUAAAGACAAGCUGGGAAAGGAGAAAAGCAAGGAAAUGCAUAGGAGUGCAACACUUCCGGUGGGGUCCUUGUCAAUUAAAAAGGAAGAUAAGAAAAAAGAAAAAGAUGAAAAGGUUAAAAAGAAGAAGAAAGAGAAGGAAGUGGGGGUUGUAGAAAAAAAAUCAGCAAUAUCAUCUCUAAAGGGGUUGCUAAAGAGGACCAAACCAAAGGAAAAGGAGAAAGAGAAAGAGAAGGAUAAGGAUAAAGAUAAAGAUUCUUCAUCCCAAGAGAAGCUAUCCUCUCCCUCUCUGUUUAGAAAAUUUGAGAGGAAGAGUCGAAGCAACACACAUUCUCCACUGCUGGAUGACAAGAAGCAUACCAGUCCAGGUAAAGUUGCAAGUAGCACGCAGCAGCGUGAUGUAGAUAAGUUAAAACAUAGUCCUGUAGCAGCUAAUGGCAAAACUCGUCCAGUAAUCAGUGGCCCUGUAGAUGUACGUCCACUAAGCAGCCCAGCAGAGAUUGGUUCAUCAGGUAGAAGCAGUUCUGUAGUGGGUGCUUCCGGCUCAGAAAGUGAAAGCCCUGCUAGUAGCCACCACUCCUCUCCAAAACGCAUUGUAAAUCACACUCGUAAGACUAGCAUGGGUAACCAACCAUCCCCACGGUUGUAUAGACACGUCCUUACAAGAAACCUCUCCAGCAGUCAGGAAUCAGUAGACAAUCCCAUGCUCUCGUCAAGUCACUCUUCACCUCAGACGUCACCCCAUACCUCUCCAAAAAGAAGGCUUGUACCUGCUUCAGCAUCCUCUUAUAGUCUUCCUGCCAGUCGUGACAUGAGCCCUCCUGCCCCUGUUAUGGGGACAAGAGCCCUCAGAGGUUCUAACAACAGCUUUUCAGUAACAAUUGGCUUCAAACCCACAGUUGAAAAACAUAGCAGAACCAUGAGUGAAGGAGCUGACCUUAACAAAGUAGCAGUAUCUCCUGUAUGUAAGCGGAAAGAAGGGUCGGGUAUUUUGACACAACUUAAUAAACGAUCAUCUUCAAUGGAGAUUCUUGUAUUUGGGAAAAUCAGAGAACACUGUUCAGAAGGGGGUAAAUCUCCUGGUGGAAGCCCCUUCUCUCGAGAGGGGAGUUUCCGUUUACAUAGGGAAAUAUCUGUUGAAACAUUGUUUGAGCUUCCCGAGACUAGUCCCAGAUCAAGCAGGACACAAGAAGAAUACCAGGAGUACCUAAAUGAGGUACAGGCCAGGAAUGACUCACAACAUGGGUCUUCAUGGAGCCUAUUUGAAGAGUCAGAAACGGAGGGGCAGCAUAGAGCCACGCCAAAGAGGAGGAGUUCACACCAUACUGCCAUGGGUAAAAAAUUAAGUUUACCACAUAAUAUGCAUCUUUCAGGUUUACGAGAGACUGCAUCAUCAAAUCCUAAUCUGCAACGCUGUGGUUCACCGUUUGUCCGUGGUGUCACACACAGUUCAAGCUUCACCUCCAGCCCCUUUAGACGUCCCCACUCUUCCACUGCUGUGUUUUCACCAGCAAAGAGAGUUAUCUCCUCAGUUUCAGGUUUGUCUCCACCUGGGGAAUCCAGUCCUGGUAUGCCCCUGAUGCGUGUGGAGGAGGAAGGGCCUUGCCGGAAGAACUUAGAUGUCGAUACAGGAAAGCCACCCAAUGUCCUCGUGUAUGCAGCCAAUAAAGCAGACUAUUUCGAGGCUGUCAGGGAUACGCUUGUAAAUUGCCUUAAUCAGGAUAGAUACACAGUCUAUCAACUGACAGAUGAAAUGGCAUUCAAGUCCCCAUGGGCAGGAAGUACUACAUUGUUAGUAGUCUGCGGUGAUGUCCCUGCUCAUGUGUCAACAGUUUUCAUCAGAAGAGGAAAUUGCCGCUCCUAGUGGUGGUGUCAGUGAUGACGUCUUGCUCUCUGAUUGGUUCAGCAACCUCUGAGAAGCCAACAUAGCUGGCACCAGCUUAACAAAUAUGCCGCAAAAACUGAGAUCCACAAGCUCUGGUAUCUACUACAAGGAGGCCGUGUUCUCUCCAUCUGCUCUGAUUUCCUCAAUGUUGCGGUGCCUCUCUUU